RNAcentral lists this ribosomal RNA (237 nucleotides) under uncultured bacterium. RNAcentral's name for it is "partial 16S ribosomal RNA". It matches the Rfam family "Bacterial small subunit ribosomal RNA", at positions 118 to 354 of the family's 1533-position model. The record is from RNAcentral.
UGAGUAACCUGCCCUUCUCAUCGGAAUAAGCGUUGGAAACGACGUCUAAUGCCGAAUACGACCUCCUUUCGCAUGAUCGGAGGUGGAAAGCUCCGGCGGAGAAGGAUGAGCUCGCGGCCUAUCAGCUAGUUGGUGUGGGUAAUGGCCCACCAAGGCGACGACGGGUAGCCGGCCUGAGAGGGUGACCGGCCACACUGGGACUGAGACACGGCCCAGACUCCGUACGGGAGCAGCAGG